This 77-nucleotide transfer RNA is filed under the name Nitrososphaeria archaeon. Its description in RNAcentral is "tRNA-Arg". It matches the Rfam family "tRNA". From Rfam's summary of the family: Transfer RNA (tRNA) molecules are approximately 80 nucleotides in length. Their secondary structure includes four short double-helical elements and three loops (D, anti-codon, and T loops). The record is from RNAcentral. Lineage: Archaea; Thermoproteati; Nitrososphaerota; Nitrososphaeria.
GGGCCCGUCGUCUAGAACGGACUAGGGCGCCGGCCUGCGGAGCCGGAAUCUCGUGGGUUCAAAUCCCACCGGGCCCG